Molecule: ribosomal RNA, 253 nt
Filed under: uncultured bacterium
Lineage: Bacteria
Description: partial 16S ribosomal RNA
Rfam family: Bacterial small subunit ribosomal RNA
Source: RNAcentral
UACGAAGGGGGCUAGCGUUGUUCGGAAUCACUGGGCGUAAAGCGUACGUAGGCGGAUCGUUUAGUCAGGGGUGAAAUCCCGAGGCUCAACCUCGGAACUGCCUUUGAUACUGGCGAUCUGGAGUCCGGGAGAGGUGAGUGGAACUCCUAGUGUAGAGGUGAAAUUCGUAGAUAUUAGGAAGAACACCAGUGGCGAAGGCGGCUCACUAGCCCGGUACUGACGCUGAUGUACGAAAGCGUGGGGAGCAAACAGG